AAAACUUUCAACAACGGAUCUCUUGGUUCUGGCAUCGAUGAAGAACGCAGCGAAAUGCGAUACGUAAUGUGAAUUGCAGACACCGUGAAUCAUCGAAUCUUUGAACGCACAUUGCGCCCUUUGGUAUUCCGAAGGGCAUGCCUGUUCGAGCGUCAUU
RNAcentral lists this ribosomal RNA (157 nucleotides) under Chaetomella sp. 85-2-O-Mexico. RNAcentral's name for it is "5.8S ribosomal RNA". It matches the Rfam family "5.8S ribosomal RNA". Rfam says of the family: 5.8S ribosomal RNA (5.8S rRNA) is a component of the large subunit of the eukaryotic ribosome. It is transcribed by RNA polymerase I as part of the 45S precursor that also contains 18S and 28S rRNA. Functionally, it is thought that 5.8S rRNA may be involved in ribosome translocation. The record is from RNAcentral. Lineage: Eukaryota; Fungi; Ascomycota; Leotiomycetes; Chaetomellales; Chaetomellaceae.